GUGCUUGCUUUGGCAGCACUUAUACUAAAAUUAGAACAAUAUAAAGAAGAUUACCAUAUACCAUAGUCUCUGUGCAAGGAUGACCACAAAUUUUGAUGUGUUUCAUAUUUUG
Small nuclear RNA from Piliocolobus tephrosceles (Ugandan red Colobus), 112 nucleotides. NCBI's taxonomy places the organism in Eukaryota, Metazoa, Chordata, Mammalia, Primates, Cercopithecidae. The record is from Ensembl.